RNAcentral lists this ribosomal RNA (300 nucleotides) under uncultured Thermodesulfobacterium sp. RNAcentral describes it as "bacterial SSU rRNA". The stretch from base 52 to 300 matches the Rfam family "Bacterial small subunit ribosomal RNA", at positions 547 to 795 of the family's 1533-position model. The record is from RNAcentral. Lineage: Bacteria; Pseudomonadati; Thermodesulfobacteriota; Thermodesulfobacteria; Thermodesulfobacteriales; Thermodesulfobacteriaceae.
GCGAGUUGCGGACGAGGGGGAGGGGUAAGACGAAGGGGGGAAGAGUGGUUCGGAAUCAUUGGGCGUAAAGCGCGUGGAGGCGGCUGAGCAAGUCCGCUCUGAAAGCCCGAGGCUCAACCUCGGGAGGCGAGUGGAUACUGCUUAGCUCGAGUCCGGAAGAGGAGUGUGGAAUUCCUGGUGUAGCGGUGAAAUGCGCAGAUAUCAGGAGGAACACCAAUGGCGAAGGCAGCACUCUGGGACGUGACUGACGCUGAGACGCGAAAGCGUGGGGAGCAAACAGGAUUAGAUACCCGAGUAGUC